This 253-nucleotide ribosomal RNA is filed under the name uncultured Gardnerella sp. Its description in RNAcentral is "partial 16S ribosomal RNA". It matches the Rfam family "Bacterial small subunit ribosomal RNA", at positions 101 to 355 of the family's 1533-position model. The record is from RNAcentral. Lineage: Bacteria; Bacillati; Actinomycetota; Actinomycetes; Bifidobacteriales; Bifidobacteriaceae.
AACGGGUGAGUAAUGCGUGACCAACCUGCCCCAUGCUCCAGAAUAGCUCUUGGAAACGGGUGGUAAUGCUGGAUGCUCCAACUUGACGCAUGUCUUGUUGGAAAGUGUUUAGUGGCAUGGGAUGGGGUCGCGUCCUAUCAGCUUGUAGGCGGGGUAAUGGCCCACCUAGGCUUCGACGGGUAGCCGGCCUGAGAGGGCGGACGGCCACAUUGGGACUGAGAUACGGCCCAGACUCCUACGGGAGGCAGCAGUU